RNAcentral lists this ribosomal RNA (253 nucleotides) under uncultured bacterium. RNAcentral describes it as "partial 16S ribosomal RNA". It matches the Rfam family "Bacterial small subunit ribosomal RNA", at positions 524 to 776 of the family's 1533-position model. The record is from RNAcentral.
UACGUAGGGGGCAAGCGUUGUCCGGAAUCAUUGGGCGUAAAGCGCGUGUAGGCGGCUUGAUAAGUCUGCUCUGAAAGCCCGGGGCUCAACCCCGGGAGGCGGGUGGAUACUGUCAAGCUCGGGUCCGGAAGAGGCGGGUGGAAUUCCUGGUGUAGCGGUGAAAUGCGCAGAUAUCAGGAGGAACACCAAUGGCGAAGGCAGCCCGCUGGGACGUGACUGACGCUGAGACGCGAAAGCGUGGGGAGCAAACAGG